RNAcentral lists this ribosomal RNA (494 nucleotides) under uncultured bacterium. RNAcentral's name for it is "partial 16S ribosomal RNA". It matches the Rfam family "Bacterial small subunit ribosomal RNA", at positions 28 to 507 of the family's 1533-position model. The record is from RNAcentral.
GACGAACGCUGGCGGCGUGCUUAACACAUGCAAGUCGAACGGAAAGGCCUGCUUUCCCUUGUGGAUUGCGGGUACUCGAGUGGCGAACGGGUGAGUAACACGUGAGUGAUCUGCCCCCAACUUGGGUAUAAGCCUGGGAAACUGGGUCUAAUUCCCGAUAGGACUGCAGGGUGGUGCCUGUGGUGGAAAACGAUUUUCUAGUGGUUGGGGAUGAGCUCGCGGCCUAUCAGCUUGUUGGUGGGGUAAUGGCCUACCAAGGCGGCGACGGGUAGCCGGCCUGAGAGGGUGGACGGCCACAUUGGGACUGAGAUACGGCCCAGACUCCUACGGGAGGCAGCAGUGGGGAAUAUUGGACAAUGGGCGGAAGCCUGAGGCAGCGACGCCGCGUGGGGGAUGACGGCCUUCGGGUUGUAAACUCCUUUCGACCGCGAGGAAGCCACCUGGUUGGAAGGGUGGUGACGGUAGUGGUAGAAGAAGCACCGGCUAACUACGUG